Molecule: ribosomal RNA, 1797 nt
Filed under: Triticum aestivum (bread wheat)
Lineage: Eukaryota; Viridiplantae; Streptophyta; Magnoliopsida; Poales; Poaceae
Description: partial small subunit ribosomal RNA
Source: RNAcentral
AUGAAAAUCAGUGGUUGGAAGGAAAAGUUGCUAUCAGCAGGAGGAAAGGAAAUCCUUCUCAAAUCAGUUGUACAAGCUAUCCCAACUUAUGCAAUGUCCGUCUUUAAAAUUCCUAAAAAGAUUUGUAAAGGAAUCAUUGACGCGAUGUCGCAUUUUUGGUGGGGUGACGAAGACAAUCAGAAGAGAAUGCAUUGGAUGGCAUGGUGGAAGAUGUGUGUACCAAAAGACCAAGGAGGAAUGGGUUUUCAAGACAUACAUUGUUUCAAUCUGGCCUUAUUAGCCAAACAAGCGUGGCGCCUGCUUGAUAACCCUGAUUCACUAUGUGCUUCAAUUUUGAGAGCUAAAUAUUUUCCAGAUGGAGAUUUAAUGAAUGCGAGUCUGAAAAAAAGAUCCUCUUUCACGUGGCAAAGCAUAAUGGCCGGAGUGGAUUCUCUCAAAAAAGGUUAUAUUUGGAGAGUUGGUAAUGGACAGAAUAUUGAUAUCUGGAGAGAUGCAUGGAUCCCGAAUGGGGCAAAUAGGAAAAUUAUCACUCCUAGAAGAGGGCAGGUUCUAACAAAAGUUGCUGAUCUUAUAGAUCCAAUCAACAAUUGCUGGGAUGAAGAUUUGGUAAGACAAACGUUGUGGCCAAUUGAUGUCCAGAGAGUGCUUACGAUCCCCCUCCCCACGUAUGACAUGUCGGAUUUCAUAGCUUGGAGCUUUACAAAGAAUGGACUGUUCACGGUUCGUUCUGCUUAUCUGGAGGAAUGGAAAGCCCAACAUGGGAGGAAAUUGCAACACUCAGAUGGCAUUGGAGGAAUAAAUGUCAAUACUAUUUGGAGCAAGAUUUGGAAAUUAUCUUGUCCAGCAAAAGUGAAGAUCUUUAUUUGGCAUACCUUACAUGGAACCCUCCCGUGUUGUGUUACACUUACUAAUAGACAUAUGAAAGUUUCGCCCACCUGCCCAUCAUGUCCGAACGGGCAUGAAGAUACUAAACACUUAUUAUUUUUAUGUCAAAAGGCAAAAAAGGUGUGGGAGAAACUGGGAUUGUACGAAGCCACUAAAAAAGCCUGUGCGGUCGAUCGUGCGGGAGAGGCAGUACUUGAAUUUCUAAUUUUUAUGCCAGAACAUGAGCUAUCUACAUUGGGCAUACAGAAUGUUCGCGAACUGAUUGCUAUAACAGCCUGGUAUUUAUGGUGGGAAAGACGUUCGCUAGUUCAUCAGGGGAAGACCCAAGAUGCAUACCAAAUUUCGAUGGGAGCACGUGCUAUAACGACGAACUAUGUUAUUUCCCAAUCCCCCAAGGCAACAAAUAAAAUAGAGGGAUGGACGAGACCCCCUCUAGGUUUUGUGAAAUUAAAUGUCGAUGCUUCUUUCGAUCAAGACAAGCUUAGAGGCACAGCGGGAGCUGUACUUAGAGAUGAUAAAGGAAAAUUUAUUGUUGGAGGGAAUUGGAAGAUGGAUUGGUGUGCAGAUGUUUUAACAGCAGAAGCCAUGGCACUACGUUUUGUCUUAUUACUUGCACAAAAGACAGGAAGUAACCGACUUGUUGUUAACUCCGACAAUAUGAAAGUAGUUGACAUGAUGAAGAAUGGAGGACAGACAGUGGGAGCGGCGGCAGCUGUGUUUGAUGAUUGUUAUUUUUUGGUUUGUGAUUUUUCGUUAGUUAGAUUUGAAUACUGUAAUAGGAAGGCAAAUAAAGUAGCUCAUGAAGUUGCUAGAGUAGCCAAAUUUUCUGAGACAAGGGACUGGUUUGAGGAACCUAUGAACGAUAUUGUAAAUUUUCUUAUAGACGAUGUAACCAUUAUUACUAAUAAGUAA